GAAGCAAAAUGCAGGUCACCUGGAAACCCUGACUUUAACCUUAGAAUAUCUUCAUUUGACCUCCUGUCACAAACCAACCAAGGCUCUGAAAUGAUCCACUUUAUAUCCUCACAGAUAAUAAUCCUGCCUCCCUGUAACUUUUAUCCAAAGUAGUUAUGCUGUAAAAAUGUGAUGACUGCCUCUGCAGCGCUCACCUGCUUCUAUAAUGGGAUAAUUGCAGUUAAAGGCAUGAAGGCUGGUGAGGAGCAGAACCUGCUCCCUCCUCUCUGGGGUAAGUCAUCAGGGCAAUAAGAGGAGCUGUCUCCAGGCAGUAUAUUCAGUAACAUUAAUACCUGCUCCACUCCUUGCAUCACAUCUGGAUGGCUGACAGGACAUAACAAAGGACAGGAAGGAUUGCAUUUCUGUCUCCACUCCACUGGUCAGGAGCUGGAUGCUGUAGAGUGUAUCAGGGAAGGUCUGGAUCCACAUGACUCGUGGAUAGGGGAGCAAUGCUGCCCCUGCCAUCCCUGUAGGGCUCCUCAGCCUGUGCAGAAAACCUCGCUCCUAAAGCAGACCUGGGCUGAGGGGCCACCACAGCCUGUGGUGAUGCUGCCGUGGUCCCCACCUGGCACAGGGGAGUGAGUCUGCAGCAGCACAUCAGGAGUGCUGAAAUCAAUAUUCCAGAGCACCUGCAGCAGCAUCAGUGUCCUUUCUCCCUCCUUACAGGGGGACUGAGGUGGGUAGGCAAAACAGCCACACAGCUUCCAGCUCUGUCCUGGUCCUUCCUCCUGGGUUCCCAGCCUGGGAUCCUGCUCUCUCACACUGAGCUUCAAAAGCUCAGUGUAACAUGCAGAUGGAGCUAUUUGAGGUCUUUAAGAAAUGGUAUCUUAGAUGACUAAUUAUUGUGAGCUGACUAAUAGCUAAUGCUUCUGGGCACAGCUGUACCUACAAUAGCCAAACAUCUUCAUAUUUGCUAAAAAUGAGGAGGAAGAAAAAGAUAAAUUUUGCCUAAGCUGGAACUUUUUCCAGGUCAAGUCUCUUCUUAUUUAACUGUUAAUCUUGAAGUAUUACAUAAAGUUUGGGGCUGUGAAAAACUCCUGUAAAGUCAGAUCUGAGUUAAUUAAAAGGAAACCUUUUCUCUCUGGAGGUUUUGUGUCGAUCUGGAAAGCACAGGGCCAUCCCAUGGGAUCUUCCCAAGGAGACAUCUCCCACACCUGCUGCUGUGUGUGCAGGGCUUUGGGUCUCUCUUUGGGGGAGGAUGAAAUGACCUCCCUCUGAAAUGUCCACAAAACCCCAGCAGGCUCUGCUGAAACAGAAGGUAAGAAUCUUUAAACAAAUCACAUGAUUUUGUACUGACAUCAGGCCUCUACAAAGAAAUUUAAAGUUGAUGCUCA
RNAcentral lists this long non-coding RNA (1373 nucleotides) under Cyanistes caeruleus (blue tit). RNAcentral describes it as "lncRNA (ENSCCEG00000021087.1)". Lineage: Eukaryota; Metazoa; Chordata; Aves; Passeriformes; Paridae. The record is from RNAcentral.